This 2124-nucleotide long non-coding RNA is filed under the name Paramuricea clavata. Lineage: Eukaryota; Metazoa; Cnidaria; Anthozoa; Malacalcyonacea; Plexauridae. The record is from RNAcentral.
UAUUUUUUCACGGUCGUUAUGUUCUCGUACAAGUUUGCAUGGACUUUUAUUGAGCGUUGGAAACAGGAAGUGCUUGAAUUUGUAACAGAGUAAGAACAUUUAUGUCUGACAUACAUGUAGUCCAGUGUCAUGAACUGUGACCAACAUAUUCCGCAACCUGGUUGAACAUUGAUGAUAGAAACCAGCUUUGAAGCAAGCGACAUUACAGAAACAAAACGUCAACUUUGUCUUCCUGUAUUGGGCUGAUGAAAGAACAACGCGUGUAUUUUAUUCGUAUAUACUUUGGAAUGAGAUGGAAGUUAUUGAGUUGCUGAUCUUGCAAGGAAAUACGGCCUUAUCUGGAACAUUUAACAAUAUGAAUAUCGCAAUUUCCAGACAAAAACAGGAUACAUUUGAACUUGCAAUGCAGAACACUCUUCCAGCUUGUGAAUCAGCACAGUAUAUUAUUCUGAGUUUCUUGAAUAUAACAUUGCAUUACAACAAAGAAUCUACAAAAUAGUGGUACACUGAUCUAGUGCGAUCCACAAAGUCAGCACACCUUCAAGAAUUGUGCAUCUUCAAUUGACAAUUUCCAACGGGACAUAUCCUGACCCAUGAUUGUUCAGUAACUACUGGAAGCGUCUGUUAUGAUAUCGAAUUCAAUCGGGAGUGUCAUUCACCAAAAUUUUGUUUACGUUCCAGUCAGAUGUUGAACGAUUAAAAAGACGAAAGGUAAAUAACUGUCAAGUUUGUUACAUAAUCUGAGAGCCUAACACGAGUAUGAUUGGUCAAUUCCUCAUUUGGACGUCGUUUGAAAUACGUACUUUAUGAAUGGAAAACAAACAUCCGGGUGCUAUAAGAUGCAAUGUGUAAUAUCUAAUCUACCAUAAUAUGUGAGGAAUAUGCUUCAUAUUUAUAACUUUGUAGCUGUUGGAAAAUACUAAAAAUGGACUUAUUACUGUUCGCUUGUGAAGCAUUGUCUUUCCUGCAGCCUCUAAAUUGUCGAAAGAACGUUGUGGUAAUAACGAACCCGUGAACAAAUUCGGAAUUCAAUCGCUUAUGGUAAUGAAAGCUUCUCAAAAUAUUCUGAAUAAUCGGCUUAUAUUUGCGAACAGUCAUUCGUAUGAUAACUAUGAACAUGUGCGUACGAAUAUGGUACAUAAGUUCUUUGUAUGUUUGCAUGGUGAUAAAAUAUAAUAGGUUUUGUUUGUGGAAACACCACGUAAAUUUAUUACUGCAAUUAUGGUACAGUUGCGAUGGUACGAAUAUGGUACAGUUGCGAUGUUGAGCAAUACCAGAUUGACACCAAAAACCUAGAAAAUUCUACAAGAAACUACCAGACGAAUUUUGACAAACCACAAUCUAGGUUGUGAAAGAAUGUUGAUUUGAAUGUUGGUGAUACGCAAAAACCUUUAAAAUAUAUUUGAACAUUCUACAGUUUUAGAAUUUUACAAUUUUAUUGUAGCUUUGCUCUGAGAGCGAGUACAGUUACAAAGUGUAAACGCUAUCGAUAUUGACCAGAGGUACUCCACCUUAUUCUUAACAAAAUGUCCUCAAGCUUUUAUUUGCUUUCUAAGAAAAAAAUAUUUGAUAGCCGUUUGAGUAACUAAUAAUUAUUUUCAUAUUUUUAUCAAGGAUAGAAUUUCUGUAUCGAACACUGCUUAAUUUAGUAAGCUCAGAAUUCAGACUUGUGACAACCUGUCUGAUUUAUUCUCUAUUUGUCUCUAAUCUCUGGCAUCUCAACGCAUUUAAAACAAUUUACUCUUCUUAUAAGGCUAGACAAAGUCCGCUAUACUCAGUCUGGUGUCUUGUGUCAGAUCAUGCAUGUUUUAAUCCAUAUCAUGGACUAAAAUAGUUCUUUUCGGACUUUGUUUCGCGUUAUAUUUUUAUUGAGAUUUUUUGCCCGCUUCAAGUGGUUAUACUCAAAUUUAUAGAGCGCGCAUGUCAGAAAGGGUCAUGAUAGCAAGUAACAAAAAUAGCCAAAUAGAUCAUUGGAAGCUUGGGAGUACGCCAAGUUAAAGACUUUAGCAUCACAAUGGGACGAUAGUAAAUUAUAUAUUAAAUGCUGCUCACAAUAAACAGAAAUUACUAAAUUAGUUUGCAUGCCUAAUUUAUAGCAUAUUGUAUAGAGUUUGUACCAGUAGC